UGGGGAAUAUUGCACAAUGGGCGCAAGCCUGAUGCAGCCAUGCCGCGUGUAUGAAGAAGGCCUUCGGGUUGUAAAGUACUUUCAGCGGGGAGGAAGGCGAUAAGGUUAAUAACCUUGUCGAUUGACGUUACCCGCAGAAGAAGCACCGGCUAACUCCGUGCCAGCAGCCGCCGUAAUACGGAGGGUGCAAGCGUUAAUCGGAAUUACUGGGCGUAAAGCGCACGCAGGCGGUCUGUCAAGUCGGAUGUGAAAUCCCCGGGCUCAACCUGGGAACUGCAUUCGAAACUGGCAGGCUAGAGUCUUGUAGAGGGGGGUAGAAUUCCAGGUGUAGCGGUGAAAUGCGUAGAGAUCUGGAGGAAUACCGGUGGCGAAGGCGGCCCCCUGGACAAAGACUGACGCUCAGGUGCGAAAGCGUGGGGAGCAAACA
Molecule: ribosomal RNA, 427 nt
Filed under: uncultured bacterium
Lineage: Bacteria
Description: partial 16S ribosomal RNA
Rfam family: Bacterial small subunit ribosomal RNA
Source: RNAcentral